AUUGAACGCUGGCGGAAUGCUUUACACAUGCAAGUCGAACGGCAGCACGGGGGCAACCCUGGUGGCGAGUGGCGAACGGGUGAGUAAUACAUCGGAACGUGCCCAGUCGUGGGGGAUAACGUAGCGAAAGUUACGCUAAUACCGCAUACGAUCUACGGAUGAAAGCGGGGGACCGUAAGGCCUCGCGCGAUUGGAGCGGCCGAUGUCAGAUUAGGUAGUUGGUGAGGUAAAGGCUCACCAAGCCGGCGAUCUGUAGCUGGUCUGAGAGGACGACCAGCCACACUGGGACUGAGACACGGCCCAGACUCCUACGGGAGGCAGCAGUGGGGAAUUUUGGACAAUGGGCGCAAGCCUGAUCCAGCCAUUCCGCGUGCAGGACGAAGGCCUUCGGGUUGUAAACUGCUUUUGUACGGAACGAAAAGGCUCUGGUUGAUAUCUGGGGCUCAUGACGGUACCGUAAGAAUAAGCACCGGCUAACUACGUGCCAGCAGCCGCCGUAA
Molecule: ribosomal RNA, 500 nt
Filed under: uncultured bacterium
Lineage: Bacteria
Description: partial 16S ribosomal RNA
Rfam family: Bacterial small subunit ribosomal RNA
Source: RNAcentral